Molecule: ribosomal RNA, 390 nt
Filed under: uncultured microorganism
Description: bacterial SSU rRNA
Rfam family: Archaeal small subunit ribosomal RNA
Source: RNAcentral
GCGCAGCAGGCGCGAAUCCUUCGCAAUGCGGGAAACCGCGACGAGGGGACUCCCAGUGCCUACGCUCAGCGUAGGCUGUUCCCGAGCCUAGAAAGCUCGGGGAGUAAGGGCUGGGUAAGACGGGUGCCAGCCGCCGCGGUAAUACCCGCAGCCCGAGUGGUGGCCACUAUUAUUGGGCCUAAAGCGUCCGUAGCCGGCCCGGUAAAUGCCUGGGUAAAUCGUAAGGCCUAACCUCACGAAUUCCGGGUAGACUGCCGGGCUAGGGACCGGAGGAGGGAGAGGAUACCCCCGAGGGGUAGGGGUGAAAAUCCUGUAAUCCCUGGAGGACCACCGGUGGCGAAGGCGCUCUCCGUAGGACGGGUCCGACGGUGAGGGACGAAAGCCAGGGGA